GGAGAUUUCUCUGAUAAAGGAUGUUAAAGUUGAAGGUGUGGGCUGCUGCAGGGAAAUGAAGUGACAUGAUUUUAUAUCCUGCCUCUCGGCCAUGCAAUCAACUCAUUCCCCUCACCUGAGGUUGAUGGACCUGACUAUUUUACCUGACCCGCCUGUUCUGACCCUGCUUGCUUGUUUUUGGAUCUCAGAUAUUCUGCUUGCUCAUUUUUUGGAGGGUUGUGUUUGCCUGUGUGACCGAUCUCCCGGUUUUGACCUUGCCUGAACUCUGAGCUGCUUCUUCUUCCGUCUGUGAUGAAAUGGAAACGAGCACUGACAGCUUCUGAAGAGCCGACUCUAAUUUCACAUUGUUCUCUGUCAAAAAGUUCUCUUUAAGCAAUUUAAUUGAUUCUUUUCUGCGAGUCUUUUUGCAGAUCUUAGACGACCUUCUUGGCUGCUCCACCGAGCGAGACUAAAGGCUUCCCUUUAUUAGCUGUAUUUGUGAGACAGACACAUUGUGAACAAUAAAAUCAUUUCGUCAGGGGGGCAUUAUUAGGACCACUCAUCAGCCUGUCAGGACCAGUCAUUUAUCCCCAGUGAGGAGAAGGUCACCAGCUGCCUUUUACCUGUGCAAAACUGAGAUAGCAAAGAGGACGAUUCUGCCAACGGCAGGAGAAAGAUUAUUGGUGAAUCGCCUCUCAGUGGCUCUCAAUUAUUAAGCCAAUUUCCUCCUCUUAUAAAUUUUACUGUUUCAAAGCACUUACUGGGGCUGUAAAUCAUUGCUAAUGACAUCGCCGUCCUUCCUCCAUAAAAUACGACUUAAUCCAGCUUUAGUGGGCUAUCAUGAAGUUGUAGAAGAAUAACCAAUCAUGACACAUUGUUGGCAUUUGUAUAAAAAUAUAAUUAUAUCAUCAUUAGUCAUUUUUACUAAUGGUUUAACUGCAGGGACCGUGGCCAGUGUUUACCAGGAGCUGCGACAGGUGUGACGGUUGGUACUGAGUCAUCGGCAGAGCCGAGAGAAUAGCCAACAGCCAAUGGUGGAGCUUAGAAACACCCUCCAGACUGACUGCUGGGAAGCAGGUGGGCGUCAGCUGCCCUCAUACAUCACAGCACUAACAGCCUCUUCUGCAGACAGUGGGGGGAAAAAAGUGCUCAAGGCGAGAGCUGGAAAAAAAUGUCAAUAGAAAUGAGACAAAAAGAGAGACAGAGAAAAACAGAAAGAGAGGGAACAGCCAGGCCUGAAAAACAGAUCAAACUGGGGAAGGGAAAAAAGAAAAGAAGGUGAUGUAAGAAGAAAAAGCCGGCUGUAAGUAAAACAAAGGAGUCAGCUGCUGGAGUCGUGCACGAACAGCUGGUGCCAAAAACAGAGUCGAGGACAAAGUGGGUUCUGUUUGGACUGGAACCGGGCCAAAGCUGGGCCGGGUUAGCGAGCAGGGAGCGCCGCCAACACCAGAAGAGGCCUACGGGAAGAUCAUUAUAUAACCAAGAGGGGAAACCUCACAGGCACAACAGAGAUGCUCUUGACUCCCUAAUGAUAUGGCUCGGUUUAAACCUAUGUCAAAGGGGAAGGCAGGGAGACAUUAAAAAGAAAGAAAGGCAUCUAUAAAAAGACCAGGAAGGAGGAAAAGAGGAGCGAGGAGAAUGCAGUCCAUUGUUUAUCCAUUAACCACUGCAGCAGAAAAACCGUGGUGCCUGUACUUUUUCACUUUUCUCCCACUUUAGAACAAACCAUUGAUUCAUAUGAAUAUAUAAUUACAGUAUUUGGAAAUUAUUCCUCUUUCAAUAAAGGUAACUGGGCUUGAAUGGAAAAUAUUACAGAAAGCUAUCCAUUUUGAUUCACUUUUCCCAUUUUCAGCAACUUCUUUGCAGAGCGAAAGAUUAAAGAAAUGUGGUUCUCAUUUCUUCCUCUGCUUUCCCUUUUGAAAAAAAACCACAAAAAAAAAACAUUGUGUUGCAUGGAAAGUGAUAAUUCUCUUUUUUUGUCACUCGAGUGUCUCACAAAUAAAACAUUUAUUUCAUGAGAUUCACCAUGUGGUGUUAAAUAAUGAAAUCAGUGUGUAAGAUCAAAUAAAACAAAGAAACAACACCAUUGUGGCUUUUUUAAAUUAAUUUUUUUUACAAUU
Molecule: long non-coding RNA, 2099 nt
Organism: Dicentrarchus labrax (European seabass)
Lineage: Eukaryota; Metazoa; Chordata; Actinopteri; Moronidae
Exons: 3
Source: RefSeq, a predicted model, not a curated record